Molecule: ribosomal RNA, 456 nt
Filed under: Triticum aestivum (bread wheat)
Lineage: Eukaryota; Viridiplantae; Streptophyta; Magnoliopsida; Poales; Poaceae
Description: partial small subunit ribosomal RNA
Source: RNAcentral
AUGAAAUGUCGUGGGUGGAAAGGGGAACCCAAGUGUUCGUUUUGUGGGGAGAGGGAAACUUCCCAGCAUCUCUUUUUUACUUGUCUUGUUGCCAGGAUUACCUGGAAAGUGGUGGGGUGCAUGUUUGGCACUGAAUUAUGCCCUGACAACUUGUGGCAACCAUAUGUUUGGUGUUAUGUGUUUUUCCCUGGUGGCGAUACAUUUUAUACAACUGGCAUUGCGGCUAUGUGCUAGGCUAUAUGGACCUGCCGUAACCGAGCUACUUUUGAGCAUAUUCCUCUCAAAACCCCAUUUGAAUGCAUCUUUUCUGCAUGUACACUUCUUUGCUACUGGGCAGGUAUGAUGAAGUAGGAGGAUGCAGCGAACCCGAGGGCUGGAGGAGCUCUGCUGAAGGACAACGCGUCUCGCAUGAUGAGGAUCUGCGCGGCGGCGUACCAGGAUGAGGGAGCAUGCUGA